Molecule: ribosomal RNA, 550 nt
Filed under: Neoparlatoria yunnanensis
Lineage: Eukaryota; Metazoa; Arthropoda; Insecta; Hemiptera; Diaspididae
Description: partial 28S ribosomal RNA
Source: RNAcentral
AUCUGGGCGGCGGAAUUCAGGAUGGCGGGCGCGUCUUCGCGGCGCGUUCGUCGUUUGAUAUUUCCGUCGCCGAUCCAACCCGCAGACGUCGCGACCUGUUCGCGGUCGGUCCCUGCUCGGAGGAGCCGCGUUCGAGUUCGUUGUGGGCGCGUUUCUGCGCGUCACACGGCGAAGGCGCGGGUCUCUGGCUGGCCGACGGACAGUACGCUAAACGGUGUCCGGUGUCGUCGUCUUGUACGCGCGUGCACCGGUGCCGGUCGGCGACGAAUUCUUCGGGCCUCUUUCCGACCCGUCUUGAAACACGGACCAAGGAGUCUAACAUGCGCGCGAGUCGCGGGGUGUCGAGCGUACCACGGUGCGUUCGUUACGUUGCGAAACCCGUACAUGUCGAAGGCGUAAUGAAAGUAAAUGGGGAAGAUGGUGUUCCGAGUACACGUUCCGCGGUCAUUGGUACCGCGGCCGGACACCCGCAUUCCCGGGGCGUCUCAACGGCCCGUCGCGGAUGCGGAUAGUCGUCUUUCGGGGCGGCUGUCGGUCUGCGACGAACCGA